RNAcentral lists this transfer RNA (70 nucleotides) under Cerambycidae sp. 1 KM-2017. Its description in RNAcentral is "tRNA-Lys". Lineage: Eukaryota; Metazoa; Arthropoda; Insecta; Coleoptera; Cerambycidae. The record is from RNAcentral.
CAUUAGAUGGCCGAAAGUAAGCAAUGGAAUUUUAAUCCAUAAAAUUGUAGAUUAACGCCUACCUCUAAUG